GCAACGAAGUGAAAAAGCACAUAUAAUAAUACGAUGUUUGCCUGAAAGGCAAACUCGAAGAUAAACAGCGAGGCAGAAUUCCUGCCGAACUGUUUAUCGUAU
Small RNA from Treponema denticola ATCC 35405, 102 nucleotides. It matches the Rfam family "TD-2 RNA". From Rfam's summary of the family: non coding RNA found in Treponema denticola NCBI's taxonomy places the organism in Bacteria, Pseudomonadati, Spirochaetota, Spirochaetia, Treponematales, Treponemataceae. The record is from Rfam.